UGCUCAGCUCCUGCUCGAGAACCUCCACCCGAGCUAGGGCUCCUUCCUUUUGAACCUUCACCUUAUCAAGGUGAGCUUGAGCUCCUUCAAAAUCAGCCUUCAGGGCCUCAUAUUGAUGCUGGACCUCAUCCUUCUGACUCACAGCCUCGUCCUUUUCACGAAGGGUCUCCACCAUGGAGGACAGCUGCUUCAAAACUUCUUCACAUCGG
RNAcentral lists this long non-coding RNA (209 nucleotides) under Manihot esculenta (cassava). RNAcentral describes it as "long non-coding RNA (MESC_LNC011500)". The record is from RNAcentral. Lineage: Eukaryota; Viridiplantae; Streptophyta; Magnoliopsida; Malpighiales; Euphorbiaceae.